GUGCUACUACCAGUAUGAAUCAACCUCUUACCUCAUAAAUAGUGAGCAAGCCCAGGGGCUUCUGGGCUCUUCUGUAGGACAGUCUCCUGUGUGAUGGAUCGCCUCUAACGUAAGGGUGGCUCUUGAAGUUAUGCCUGUUUUGGUGCUGUGUGAUGCCUUGCUGAUACAGACCUUUGAGUGGGCAGCGUGGAAGAAGUGUGAAAAAGUAGCAGGAGAAGGAGGCAAAGAGGCAUUUCUGAAUAAGUUGUUGUGACAGAAGAAAUGGAAGAAUAAAAAUUCAGCAGAAAACA
This 290-nucleotide long non-coding RNA is filed under the name Phasianus colchicus (ring-necked pheasant). RNAcentral describes it as "lncRNA (ENSPCLG00000001902.1)". Lineage: Eukaryota; Metazoa; Chordata; Aves; Galliformes; Phasianidae. The record is from RNAcentral.